Molecule: long non-coding RNA, 380 nt
Organism: Gigantopelta aegis
Lineage: Eukaryota; Metazoa; Mollusca; Gastropoda; Neomphalida; Peltospiridae
Exons: 3
Source: RefSeq, a predicted model, not a curated record
AUUGGGACGUUUUUCAGAGGACUGGUUUCAUUAGCACAGUGGUUAUGCUAUGAGCCUUAAAUUUGGUAGGCAUGGGGUUUAGGUCUUGGUAGCAGCUUCAAUGCAAGUGAGAUUUAACACUGGCAUGGCCAGGAUUUUAUAUUGGAGGUGGAGGUCUCCAUGGUCCAUCCUCUGGCUUUGCAAUUAAGUUUUGAUGUUUUGUGAUGGGAGCUGAUUACCCAGCAGACACUGCAAGAUCCAUGUACCAUGUAAUCAGGUGAUGCUGACUUGGCUCAAGUGAGACCAAGCUUGAAUGAAGCACAGCCCUGUCAAGUAGUCCCAUACUGAAACGUGUAUCUAUAUAUGGUUCAAGCAAGCUGUCCUGGGCACACUCAGGAAGG